CUUUGGGAUAACCCUCGGAGACGGGGGCUAAUACCGGAUAUGACCUUGCAUCGCAUGGUGUGGGGUGGAAAGUUUUUCGGCUUGGGAUGGGCUCGCGGCCUAUCAGCUUGUUGGUGGGGUGAUGGCCUACCAAGGCGACGACGGGUAGCCGGCCUGAGAGGGCGACCGGCCACACUGGGACUGAGACACGGCCCAGACUCCUACGGGAGGCAGCAGUGGGGAAUAUUGCACAAUGGGCGGAAGCCUGAUGCAGCGACGCCGCGUGAGGGAUGACGGCCUUCGGGUUGUAAACCUCUUUCAGUAGGGACGAAGCGUGAGUGACGGUACCUACAGAAGAAGCGUCGGCCAACUACGUGCCAGCAGCCGCGGUAAGACGUAGGGCGCGAGCGUUGUCCGGAUUUAUUGGGCGUAAAGAGCUCGUAGGCGGCUUGUCGCGUCGACUGUGAAAACCCGGGGCUCAACUGCGGGCUUGCAGUCGAUACGGGCAGGCUAGAGUUCGGUAGGGGAGACUGGAAUUCCUGGUGUAGCGGUGAAAUGCGCAGAUAUCAGGAGGAACACCGGUGGCGAAGGCGGGUCUCUGGGCCGAUACUGACGCUGAGGAGCGAAAGCGUGGGGAGCGAACAGGAUUAGAUACCCUGGUAGUCCACGCUGUAAACGUUGGGCGC
Molecule: ribosomal RNA, 665 nt
Filed under: uncultured Micromonosporaceae bacterium
Lineage: Bacteria; Bacillati; Actinomycetota; Actinomycetes; Micromonosporales; Micromonosporaceae
Description: bacterial SSU rRNA
Rfam family: Bacterial small subunit ribosomal RNA
Source: RNAcentral